ACCAGCAGCCAUAUCGCCCUGCAGCUCACAGCUGGAGCUCAGCAGGUGUGAGCCUGGUCAGUACCUGGAUGGGAGACUCCUGGGAAAGCUAAGGUUGCUGCUGGAA
Ribosomal RNA from Lepisosteus oculatus (spotted gar), 106 nucleotides. Lineage: Eukaryota; Metazoa; Chordata; Actinopteri; Semionotiformes; Lepisosteidae. The record is from Rfam.